GUUCAACUUCGUUCAAGACACAGGUUUGCUCCGCAGCAGCAUCAGACCACAGGUCACAAUGAGGUUUCUGAUCCUGCUGUGUGUGUCACUGCUGGCGGUCAGUGAUGCUGCACCAAUCACCGCAACAACAUCAAGUACACCCAACACAGCAACAACAUCAAGUACUCCAACCUCAGCAACAACAGCAAGUAC
Molecule: long non-coding RNA, 192 nt
Organism: Danio aesculapii
Lineage: Eukaryota; Metazoa; Chordata; Actinopteri; Cypriniformes; Danionidae
Exons: 3
Source: RefSeq, a predicted model, not a curated record